AGCAGAGUGGCGCAGCGGAAGCGUGCUGGGCCCAUAACUUAGAGGAGUCCGAGGAUCGAAACCUCGCUCUGCUA
RNAcentral lists this transfer RNA (74 nucleotides) under Strongylocentrotus purpuratus (purple sea urchin). It matches the Rfam family "tRNA". Rfam says of the family: Transfer RNA (tRNA) molecules are approximately 80 nucleotides in length. Their secondary structure includes four short double-helical elements and three loops (D, anti-codon, and T loops). Further hydrogen bonds mediate the characteristic L-shaped molecular structure. tRNAs have two regions of fundamental functional importance: the anti-codon, which is responsible for specific mRNA codon recognition, and the 3' end, to which the tRNAs corresponding amino acid is attached (by aminoacyl-tRNA synthetases). tRNAs cope with the degeneracy of the genetic code in two manners: having more than one tRNA (with a specific anti-codon) for a particular amino acid; and 'wobble' base-pairing, i.e. permitting non-standard base-pairing at the 3rd anti-codon position. Lineage: Eukaryota; Metazoa; Echinodermata; Echinoidea; Camarodonta; Strongylocentrotidae. The record is from Rfam by way of RNAcentral.